GGGGGGGGGCCCGUGGGAGUGCUCGACGACGUCGUCCUGUGGGGGCUCCUGCGCGUCCGUCGCUUUUAAAGGCCGGGAAGUGGUGACGACAUCGUCCCAGCAAUAAGCGAUGGGCUUUUUUGAGACGUUGGCUCGAUCCUCCAAGCUUUGAUUCUCUGCUAUUGUCCACGCAUCAGCACGCGUGAAGGCAUGGCGAUGGCUUGCUGGUUGAAGACUUAAGUCGGCGUGGCAACCAAAAGCGGGAGAAACGAUGGAGCGAAAUCUGCAAUGAUCGGGCACGUGUGCGCCUGCUCAGCGGAUUGCGACAUCACAGGACCGUGGUGGCAAGCGAACGCCUUCAUCCAACAGUGAUGAUGAUGGACAAAUAACCGAGGUCUCCCUGGGCUUGCUCUCUCAUCUGGUGCCGAUGACGAACUCGUUGGUGUAUGGAAUUAAAGCCCCCACCACCCAUCCCGGUUUGCUGUGGUCUUCUUGGGGCGGGCAUGUUGACGGGUGAGGGCUGACCCAUCAUGGCUGGCUAUUGGAAUGUGGGAAACAACCUUAUGCCGACAUAAACACGUGGGCGAAACAGAACACAUUAAAUGUUUUGAUUUAAAGCUUUCGUGACUGCAGGGAUUCAUAUUGGUUCU
Molecule: non-coding RNA, 629 nt
Organism: Petromyzon marinus (sea lamprey)
Lineage: Eukaryota; Metazoa; Chordata; Hyperoartia; Petromyzontiformes; Petromyzontidae
Source: RefSeq, a predicted model, not a curated record